This 909-nucleotide ribosomal RNA is filed under the name uncultured Pseudomonadota bacterium. RNAcentral describes it as "bacterial SSU rRNA". It matches the Rfam family "Bacterial small subunit ribosomal RNA", at positions 58 to 944 of the family's 1533-position model. Lineage: Bacteria; Pseudomonadati; Pseudomonadota. The record is from RNAcentral.
CAAGUCGAACGCGAAAGUUUCCUUCGGGAGAUGAGUAGAGUGGCGCACGGGUGAGUAACACGUAGGUAAUCUACCUUCGGGUGGGGAAUAACCCAGGGAAACUUGGGCUAACACCGCAUAAUGCAGCGGCACCACAUGGUGACAGUUGUUAAAGCGGGGGAUUUUAGGACCUCGCGCCUGAAGAGGAGCCUGCGGCAGAUUAGCUUGUUGGUAAGGUAACGGCUUACCAAGGCGACGAUCUGUAGCCGGCCUGAGAGGGCGGUCGGCCACACUGACACUGACAUACGGGUCAGACUCCUACGGGAGGCAGCAGUCGGGAAUUUUGGGCAAUGGGCGAAAGCCUGACCCAGCAACGCCGCGUGAAGGAUGAAAUCCCUCGGGAUGUAAACUUCGCAAGAAUAGGAAGAAUUAGUAGGGGUUAAUACCCCCUAUGAUGACGGUACUAUUUGUAAGCUCCGGCUAACUCCGUGCCAGCAGCCGCGGUAAUACGGGGGGAGCAAGCGUUGUUCGGAUUUACUGGGCGUAAAGGGCGCGUAGGCGGUCAGCACAAGUCAGUUGUGAAAUCUCCGGGCUUAACUCGGAAAGGUCAACUGAUACUGUGCGACUAGAGUGCGGAAGGGGCAACUGGAAUUCUCGGUGUAGCGGUGAAAUGCGUAGAUAUCGAGAGGAACACCUGCGGCGAAGGCGGGUUGCUGGGCCGACACUGACGCUGAUGCGCGAAAGCCAGGGGAGCGAACGGGAUUAGAUACCCCGGUAGUCCUGGCCUUAAACGAUGGAUGCUUGGUGUCUGGAGUUUUAUAGUCUCCGGGUGCCGUAGCUAACGCGUUAAGCAUCCCGCCUGGGGAGUACGGUCGCAAGACUGAAACUCAAAGGAAUUGACGGGGACCCCACAAGCGGUGGAGCAUGUGG